AACCGGAUUAGAUACCCUGGUAGUCCAUGCCGUAAACGAUGAGUGCUAAGUGUUGGAGGGUUUCCGCCCUUCAGUGCUGCAGCUAACGCAUUAAGCACUCCGCCUGGGGAGUACGACCGCAAGGUUGAAACUCAAAGGAAUUGACGGGGGCCCGCACAAGCGGUGGAGCAUGUGGUUUAAUUCGAUGCUACGCGAAGAACCUUACCAGGUCUUGACAUCUUCUGCCAACCUAAGAGAUUAGGCGUUCCCUUCGGGGACAGAAUGACAGGUGGUGCAUGGUUGUCGUCAGCUCGUGUCGUGAGAUGUUGGGUUAAGUCCCGCAACGAGCGCAACCCUUAUUGUUAGUUGCCAGCAUUUAGUUGGGCACUCUAGCAAGACUGCCGGUGACAAACCGGAGGAAGGUGGGGAUGACGUCAAAUCAUCAUGCCCCUUAUGACCUGGGCUACACACGUGCUACAAUGGACGGUACAACGAGUCGCGAAACCGCGAGGUCAAGCUAAUCUCUUAAAGCCGUUCUCAGUUCGGAUUGUAGGCUGCAACUCGCCUACAUGAAGUUGGAAUCGCUAGUAAUCGUGGAUCAGCAUGCCACGGUGAAUACGUUCCCGGGGCCUUGUACACACCGCCCGUCACACCAUGAGAGUUUGUAACACCCAAAGCCGGUGAGGUAACCUUCGGGAACCAACCGUCUAANGUGGGACAGAUGAUUAGGGUGAAGUCGUAACAA
Molecule: ribosomal RNA, 724 nt
Filed under: uncultured Lactobacillus sp.
Lineage: Bacteria; Bacillati; Bacillota; Bacilli; Lactobacillales; Lactobacillaceae
Description: bacterial SSU rRNA
Rfam family: Bacterial small subunit ribosomal RNA
Source: RNAcentral